Schistosoma curassoni is the source of this 45-nucleotide non-coding RNA. Lineage: Eukaryota; Metazoa; Platyhelminthes; Trematoda; Strigeidida; Schistosomatidae. The record is from Rfam.
AUCCAUCAGACGAGUCCCAACUAGGAUGAAACGCGCAUCCUGGAC